RNAcentral lists this ribosomal RNA (200 nucleotides) under uncultured eukaryote. RNAcentral's name for it is "partial 18S ribosomal RNA". It matches the Rfam family "Eukaryotic small subunit ribosomal RNA", at positions 588 to 782 of the family's 1831-position model. The record is from RNAcentral.
GCUCCAAUAGCGUAUACUAAAGUUGUUGCAGUUAAAAAGCUCGUAGUCGAAUGAAGGUUUCUUGAAUUGCGCGAACUUCUAAGUGUAACUUAGACUAGUUUGCGCACAAGAACCUCCUUAUGUGUCUUAAUAGAUCCAAUUUAUUUUUGGAUCUAAUCAGUCACAUGCAUUACUGUGAACAAAAUAGAGUGUUCAUGGCA